RNAcentral lists this ribosomal RNA (433 nucleotides) under uncultured bacterium. RNAcentral describes it as "partial 16S ribosomal RNA". It matches the Rfam family "Bacterial small subunit ribosomal RNA", at positions 29 to 507 of the family's 1533-position model. The record is from RNAcentral.
AACGAACGCUGGCGGCAUGCCUAACACAUGCCAGUCGAACGAGACCUUCGGGUCUAGUGGCGCACGGGUGCGUAACGCGUGGGAACCUGCCCUUAGGUUCGGAAUAACUCCCCGAAAGGGGUGCUAAUACCGGAUAAUGUCUUCGGACCAAAGAUUUAUCGCCUUUGGAUGGGCCCGCGUUGGAUUAGCUAGUUGGUAGGGUAAAAGCCUACCAAGGCGACGAUCCAUAGCUGGUCUGAGAGGAUGAUCAGCCACACUGGGACUGAGACACGGCCCAGACUCCUACGGGAGGCAGCAGUGGGGAAUAUUGGACAAUGGGCGCAGGCCUGAUACAGCAAUGCCGCGUGAGUGAUGAAGGCCUUAGGGUUGUAAAGCUCUUUUACCCGGGAUGAUAAUGACAGUACCGGGAGAAUAAGCUCCGGCUAACUCCGUG